RNAcentral lists this ribosomal RNA (465 nucleotides) under uncultured bacterium. Its description in RNAcentral is "partial 16S ribosomal RNA". It matches the Rfam family "Bacterial small subunit ribosomal RNA", at positions 28 to 507 of the family's 1533-position model. The record is from RNAcentral.
GACGAACGCUGGCGGCGUGCUUAACACAUGCAAGUCGAACGGAAAGGCCCUGCUUGCGGGGUACUCGAGUGGCGAACGGGUGAGUAACACGUGGGUGAUCUGCCCUGCACUUCGGGAUAAGCUUGGGAAACUGGGUCUAAUACCGGAUAGGACCGCACUUUAGUGUGUGUGGUGGAAAGUUUUUUCGGUGUAGGAUGAGCUCGCGGCCUAUCAGCUUGUUGGUGGGGUAAUGGCCUACCAAGGCGGCGACGGGUAGCCGGCCUGAGAGGGUGUACGGCCACAUUGGGACUGAGAUACGGCCCAGACUCCUACGGGAGGCAGCAGUGGGGAAUAUUGCACAAUGGGCGCAAGCCUGAUGCAGCGACGCCGCGUGGGGGAUGAAGGCCUUCGGGUUGUAAACUCCUUUCGCUAGGGACGAAGCUUUUUGUGACGGUACCUAGAUAAGAAGCACCGGCUAACUACGUG